Molecule: ribosomal RNA, 533 nt
Filed under: Streptococcus sp. W47
Lineage: Bacteria; Bacillati; Bacillota; Bacilli; Lactobacillales; Streptococcaceae
Description: bacterial SSU rRNA
Rfam family: Bacterial small subunit ribosomal RNA
Source: RNAcentral
AGAGUUUGAUCCUGGCUCAGCACGAACGCUGGCGGCGUGCCUAAUACAUGCAAGUAGAACGCUGAAGACUUUAGCUUGCUAGAGUUGGAAGAGUUGCGAACGGGUGAGUAACGCGUAGGUACCCUGCCUACUAGCGGGGGAUAACUAUUGGAAACGAUAGCUAAUACCGCAUAAUAGUGUUUAACACAUGUUAGAGACUUGAAAGAUGCAAUUGCAUCACUAGUAGAUGGACCUGCGUUGUAUUAGCUAGUUGGUGGGGUAACGGCCUACCAAGGCGACGAUACAUAGCCGACCUGAGAGGGUGAUCGGCCACACUGGGACUGAGACACGGCCCAGACUCUACGGGAGGCAGCAGUAGGGAAUCUUCGGCAAUGGGGGCAACCCUGACCGAGCAACGCCGCGUGAGUGAAGAAGGUUUUCGGAUCGUAAAGCUCUGUUGUAAGAGAAGAACGUGUGUGAGAGUGGAAAGUUCACACAGUGACGGUAACUUACCAGAAAGGGACGGCUAACUACGUGCCAGCAGCCGCGGUAAU